GUAUUGGAACACACAUUUUAUUUUCCCCAUCGGAUUGAUAACUCCUUGUAGGUUCACAGGUCGCUGGAUCAAGAGAUGGCAUAUCCAGACAAGAACUUCACAUAACCCAGAAGUCCUGGACUUUGAGCUGGUUGCAGCGACCAGAUGGAAUUUGAGGUUGUUUCCUUUGGGGAGGGGUUUGCAUUGGAGCCCAAGUCCAGAGAAGGCUGAAGUCUGAAUUCCUGUGCAGACCGUGGACCAUAUCAUCACAGGGUGGGCCUCCUGUGUUGCCUGACCUGGCUGGCUCUCCAAGAAUAACUUCUCUCCACUUAUCUGAAGUCACGUGGAUGUUGAUCAAUCACGAUGGCUGUGCCUGUAAGAUGAGAGGAGUGGGCUGCUGAUCCAAAAGGGGGAGAGGCUCAAGUUCGUUUUCUCAAAAGAACUGCCAGAAGAAAUCCCAUUUUCAUUAAUCAAGGGACAACUACAUGGCAGGUUGCCUGUGGCUUUUGAUCAACAGGAGAUCAAAGAUCGCGUCCAUGCAAGGUUUCUCAAAGACUGGUAAAAAGAAACGGCAAGUGAGAGUGCUCUCAUUUGAGAUGGCAGCGCAGUUAGCAGCAGUGGGCAGCCGAACCCAUGGAGGGUGAAGGACUUGGAGGCAUCGUGGACAACAUCCCUUAGCAGCUGAGAGAUGCAUGGUACACUAUUAAUGCCAUCUUGCCUCUAAGAAUCAAGGACUUUGGUGUGUUGCUAUGGUUUAUAUUUUAAGCUUCAAUGUCAUUCAAUCAACAAACAUUUUAAAGUGUCUACUCUGAGGUAAUCAAGAAUGCCGAAAUAAAUUUGCUUAAUAGAUGAAAACUGGUCAGUAUCCAAAGGGUAAGAAUUAAUUGCAUUCCACUGGAUACAAUUCACUUGUACUUCUCUGGACGAGAAUAUGCAUC
This is a long non-coding RNA of Equus quagga, 917 nucleotides long. RefSeq lists it as uncharacterized. Lineage: Eukaryota; Metazoa; Chordata; Mammalia; Perissodactyla; Equidae. The record is from RefSeq and is a predicted model, not a curated record. The transcript has 5 exons.